GUGUGAAUCAUGGCAGUGCAGUGAAGGACGGUGAUUUACCGCUUUUGAGGGCAUGCAUGUAUAUGAUUAAGGGAUGGAGGUGAAGGACUCCAAGAUUUACUUCCUUCCCUUUCCAGCAGAGUUACCUGAGAGGAGUGAGUAAUGGGAUCAUUGGUAACACCACCGGCCCCUUUUCAAGAGACCAGUAAUCAAAACAGGAACACCAAACUGAGAAGAUUUCAGCUGGGAGAAUACAACUUUUGAUACUUUCUGGAUCUACCUCUUAGCACACAGGAGAGUCUUCAGAGUUUUCCUGUUUUAUUUUUUCAUGGAGAUUUUCGUUAAAAAGAUACUUCGGGUUUGACGUGACUAUCUUGGUGGUGGCAGUAGACUUCUCAUAUUAGAGAUAUGAUAAAAUGGUGAAAAGUUCCAAGCUCGUCCUCCUCUCCCAUCUAUGCCAGGUAAAAUCUGCUGGUGGAGUCACUCCAUUAUUCUUACCCAUGGAGAGGUAGAUCUUGAUUUGAAAGUUUCUGAGAAAAUCUUCAGCUCAGACUUGAGGUCAACUUUACCAACUGAAGGAAGCUGCGAGAAAGCAAACUAGUGGGAAGAGCCAGAAAUAGAAGACGAGGACACUCUUUAAAAUGAGAAGAGCAAGAGAUGGCAUCAGACACGUGAAGUGGUUUUUAAAAGUUCUGAGGAUCAGAUACCGUGAGGCGGAAACUUAAGUAGGUGUGAAUGUAGUUGGAAAGAAGGAACCUCGAUGUAAUAUUCUAAACCAGAAUAGGAGGCUUAGAUGCCGAAGGGCACGCACAGUUUUAUGAGUUUAGAAGCUUUUGGCAUAGGAAAUUGAGCAUAUGCUUAAAUAUGGCUUUCCUUUGCUGUUUGGAGAAUUUUAUGCAUUUUUUGUUGUUGUUUUGGGAGGCUGCCAUAACCCUCCAUUCGGUGGUCUUGGAUGGAACAUCUCUUGCCUUGGAGCUUGGAAAUC
RNAcentral lists this long non-coding RNA (964 nucleotides) under Callithrix jacchus (white-tufted-ear marmoset). RNAcentral describes it as "lncRNA (ENSCJAG00000073275.1)". Lineage: Eukaryota; Metazoa; Chordata; Mammalia; Primates; Cebidae. The record is from RNAcentral.